RNAcentral lists this transfer RNA (74 nucleotides) under Candidatus Bathyarchaeota archaeon. RNAcentral describes it as "tRNA-Ala". It matches the Rfam family "tRNA". From Rfam's summary of the family: Transfer RNA (tRNA) molecules are approximately 80 nucleotides in length. Their secondary structure includes four short double-helical elements and three loops (D, anti-codon, and T loops). Lineage: Archaea; Thermoproteati; Candidatus Bathyarchaeota. The record is from RNAcentral. RNAcentral also lists the same sequence under 1 other name.
GGGCCGGUAGUUCAGUCUGGAAGAACGACGGUUUUGCGCACCGUAGGUCGAGGGUUCAAAUCCCUCCCGGUCCA